RNAcentral lists this ribosomal RNA (887 nucleotides) under Zasmidium strelitziae. RNAcentral describes it as "LSU rRNA". It matches the Rfam family "Eukaryotic large subunit ribosomal RNA", at positions 34 to 960 of the family's 3401-position model. Lineage: Eukaryota; Fungi; Ascomycota; Dothideomycetes; Mycosphaerellales; Mycosphaerellaceae. The record is from RNAcentral.
CUAGCAUAUCAAUAAGCGGAGGAAAAGAAACCAACAGGGAUUGCCCUAGUAACGGCGAGUGAAGCGGCAACAGCUCAAAUUUGAAACCUGGCGCAAGCCCGGAUUGUAAUUUGUAGAGGAUGCUUCUGGGCAGCGGCCGGUCUAAGUUCCUUGGAACAGGACGUCAUAGAGGGUGAGAAUCCCGUAUGCGACCGGCGCGCACCCUCCACGUAGCUCCUUCGACGAGUCGAGUUGUUUGGGAAUGCAGCUCUAAAUGGGAGGUAAAUUUCUUCUAAAGCUAAAUAUUGGCCAGAGACCGAUAGCGCACAAGUAGAGUGAUCGAAAGAUGAAAAGCACUUUGGAAAGAGAGUUAAAAAGCACGUGAAAUUGUUGAAAGGGAAGCGCUUCCCACCAGACUCCGCGGCGGUGUUCCGCCGGCCUUCUGGCCGGUCCACUCGCCGCCGUGGGGCCAACAUCGUCUGGGGCCGUCGGAUAAGACCGGAGGAAUGUAGCUCAUUGAGUGUUAUAGCCUCCGGGGAUGCGACGCGCGCCGGGCGAGGUCCGCGCUUCGGCAAGGAUGUUGGCGUAAUGGUGGGCAGCGGCCCGUCUUGAAACACGGACCAAGGAGUCUAACAUCUAUGCGAGUGUUCGGGUGUCAAACCCCUACGCGUAAUGAAAGUGAACGGAGGUGGGAGCUUCGGCGCACCAUCGACCGAUCCUGAUGUCCUCGGAUGGAUUUGAGUAAGAGCAUAGCUGUUGGGACCCGAAAGAUGGUGAACUAUGCCUGAAUAGGGUGAAGCCAGAGGAAACUCUGGUGGAGGCUCGCAGCGGUUCUGACGUGCAAAUCGAUCGUCAAAUUUGGGUAUAGGGGCGAAAGACUAAUCGAACCAUCUAGUAGCUGGUUCUGC